This 1234-nucleotide ribosomal RNA is filed under the name metagenome. RNAcentral describes it as "bacterial LSU rRNA". It matches the Rfam family "Bacterial large subunit ribosomal RNA", at positions 1564 to 2808 of the family's 2925-position model. The record is from RNAcentral.
UGAGUACGAGAUGCUACGGCAUCGAAGCAGUCUAUGUCAUACUUCCAAGAAAAGCUUGCACUGUCAGAAACAGAUAAUGCCUGUACCAUAACCGACACAGGUGGGUAGGUAGAGUAUACUAAGGGGCGCGAGAUAACUCUCUCUAAGGAACUCGGCAAAAUGACUCCGUAACUUCGGGAGAAGGAGUGCCUUAUUUUUAAGGUUGCAAUAACAAGAUCCAAGCAACUGUUUACCAAAAACACAGGUCUCCGCUAAGUCGUAAGACGAUGUAUGGGGGCUGACGCCUGUCCAGUGCCAGAAGGUUAAAGAAGUCGGUUAGCAUUCGCGAAGCUGGUAACUGAAGCCCUGGUGAACGGCGGCCGUAACUAUAACGGUCCUAAGGUAGCGAAAUUCCUUGUCGGGUAAGUUCCGACCCGCACGAAAGGCGUAAUGAUUUGGAUACUGUCUCGGAGAGGGGCUCGGUGAAAUAGACUUGUCUGUGAAGAUGCGGACUACCUGCACCUGGACAGAAAGACCCUAUGAAGCUUUACUGUAACUUGAAAUUGAAAUUGGACUUUAUUUGCGCAGUAUAGGUGGGAGGCGUUGAAAAUAUUCUUGCGGGAAUAUUGGAGCCAUCAGUGAGAUACCACUCUUGUAAUGUUAGAUUUCUAACUUUAUAUCAUUAUCUGGUUAAAGAACAGUUUCAGGCGGGCAGUUUGACUGGGGCGGUCGCCUCCCAAAUGGUAACGGAGGCGCACAAAGGUUUCCUCUGAACGGGUAGAAAUCGUAUCUAGAGUGUAAAGGCAUAAGGAAGCUUGACUGUGAGACCUACAAGUCGAGCAGGGACGAAAGUCGGUCUUAGUGAUCUGACGGUGCUGAGUGGAAAGGCCGUCACUCAACGGAUAAAAGUUACUCUAGGAUAACAGGCUGAUCUCCCCCAAGAGUUCACAUCGACGGGGAGGUUUGGCACCUCGAUGUCGGCUCAUCGCAUCCUGGGGCGGUAGUACGUCCCAAGGGUUGGGCUGUUCGCCCAUGAAAGCGGUACGCGAGCUGGGUUCAGAACGUCGUGAGACAGUUCGGUCCAUAUCCGGUGUAGGCGUUAGAAUAUUGAGAGGAGCCUUCUUUAGUACGAGAGGACCGAGAAGGACAUACCUCUGGUGUACCAGUUAUCGUGCCAACGGUAAACGCUGGGUAGCUAUGUAUGGAGUGGAUAACCGCUGAAAGCAUCUAAGUGGGAAGCCCACCUCAAGAUAAG